CGUGAGUAACCUGCCUCUAAGAGGGGAAUAACAUUCUGAAAAGAAUGCCAAUACCGCAUAACAUAUAUUUAUCGCAUGGUAGAUAUAUCAAAGAUUUAUCGCUUAGAGAUGGACUCGCGUCCGAUUAGUUAGUUGGUGAGGUAACGGCUCACCAAGACUGCGAUCGGUAGCCGGACUGAGAGGUUGAACGGCCACAUUGGGACUGAGACACGGCCCAG
RNAcentral lists this ribosomal RNA (218 nucleotides) under uncultured bacterium. Its description in RNAcentral is "partial 16S ribosomal RNA". It matches the Rfam family "Bacterial small subunit ribosomal RNA", at positions 116 to 334 of the family's 1533-position model. The record is from RNAcentral.